GGGUUCGAGGAAGAUCUGGCUGUGACAUCUGUCACCCCAUUGAUUGCUAUGGUUGAUUCAGCUGAUCUGGCUGGCUAGGCAGGUGUACCCUUCCUCCCUUAUCACUCCAUGGACAUGACUCCUGAAGCUACAUGCUCCCUCAAAGAGGAUGGAGGACUGCUGUUCAGUCAAGGGUAUAAUUGCACUCCCCUGCUAGAACCUCCAAACAAGCUCUCAAAGAGAACAUAGAGUAGCCAAGCCUCCAAGACUCCAGGCGAAUCCAAAUGAAGUGCUGCAUGUGUCUCCCUGUCUUUCUUU
Molecule: unclassified non-coding RNA, 297 nt
Organism: Vulpes vulpes (red fox)
Lineage: Eukaryota; Metazoa; Chordata; Mammalia; Carnivora; Canidae
Gene: 7SK
Rfam family: 7SK RNA
About the family: 7SK was discovered as an abundant small nuclear RNA in the mid-70s but a possible function has only recently been suggested. Two independent studies have found that 7SK RNA binds the CDK9/cyclin T complex (known as elongation factor P-TEFb).
Source: Ensembl